This 67-nucleotide microRNA precursor is filed under the name Bombyx mori (domestic silkworm). RNAcentral describes it as "mir-2774 microRNA precursor family". It matches the Rfam family "mir-2774 microRNA precursor family". The record is from Rfam by way of RNAcentral. Lineage: Eukaryota; Metazoa; Arthropoda; Insecta; Lepidoptera; Bombycidae.
ACAACAUUUGGACCGUCGGUCUACCGAGCAAUAUCAUCCGCUCGGUGGAAGAUCUUCCUUUCGUCGU